GAUGAACGCUGGCGGCGUGCCUAAUACAUGCAAGUCGAGCGAACAGACGAGGAGCUUGCUCCUCUGACGUUAGCGGCGGACGGGUGAGUAACACGUGGAUAACCUACCUAUAAGACCGGGAUAACUUCGGGAAACCGGAGCUAAUACCGGAUAAUAUAUUGAACCGCAUGGUUCAAUAGUGAAAGACGGUUUUGCUGUCACUUAUAGAUGGAUCCGCGCCGCAUUAGCUAGUUGGUAAGGUAACGGCUUACCAAGGCAACGAUGCGUAGCCGACCUGAGAGGGUGAUCGGCCACACUGGAACUGAGCCACGGUCCAGACUCCUACGGGAGGCAGCAGUAGGGAAUCUUCCGCAAUGGGCGAAAGCCUGACGGGGCAACGCCGCGUGAGUGAUGAAGGUCUUCGGAUCGUAAAACUCUGUUAUUAGGGAAGAACAAAUGUGUAAGUAACUAUGCACGUCUUGACGGUACCUAAUCAGAAAGCCACGGCUAACUACGUG
This 497-nucleotide ribosomal RNA is filed under the name uncultured bacterium. RNAcentral describes it as "partial 16S ribosomal RNA". It matches the Rfam family "Bacterial small subunit ribosomal RNA", at positions 28 to 507 of the family's 1533-position model. The record is from RNAcentral.